This 2700-nucleotide long non-coding RNA is filed under the name Nicotiana benthamiana. Its description in RNAcentral is "long non-coding RNA (NBEN_LNC020565)". The record is from RNAcentral. Lineage: Eukaryota; Viridiplantae; Streptophyta; Magnoliopsida; Solanales; Solanaceae.
UUUAAUCCCCCUUUUAAAUCACUCGACCCCAAACCCUAAUCCCAUUCCUUCUAAACCCGCUGCCCUAAAACUCCCCCCUUCUCUGAAGAACCCUAAUUGCUACCUCUCAAAAUCCGUUUCCUAAUCCCUUUUUCGAAUAAAAUUUUUCUCUUAUUUACUUACCAUAUUUAUAUGUUUCCGCUACUGGUUGAUUCUCUGUAGUAUCACCUAGUAUUUACCUAAACAUAGCUAGUACUAUCUCUCUUUUAUUCUGUUCGAAUGAAUCAUAUUUCUUGAAUCUGGACCGUAUUUCGUCUACACGAGUUUGAUUCUACACAAUAAACCUUCUGCCCUAAAACUCCCCCCCUUUGAAGAACCCUAAUCGCCAGGCUCUCUAAACCUCUCUCAUAAUCCCUCUUCUAAUGGGGUUUUUUUCUUAUUUACUUGCUAUUUUUGUGUUUUUCCGCUACUGAUUGAUUCUUCAUGGUAUCACCUAGUACUUGACUAAACAUGGUAAGUACUACCUUUCUGAUUUUAUCUGAAUGAGUCUAUUUCUUACAUUUGGACCGUACUUCAUCUACACGCGUUCGAUUCUAUACUAUGUGAGUCCGAUUUUGUUUGGAUUUUGUUAAUUAACACUUUCCCUAUAAAACUAGGAUUUACAAAUUUUCUCUCUUAAAUUGAUUUCAAAUCGAUUUGCAUGAUUCUUUUCCUUGUUUGUUGUUUAAAUUAUUCUGUUUCUUUGUAUGUUUGCUCGAUUUUUGGCUACUAUAUAAACCCCUUCAUUUUUCCUUCGAGGCAGACUUUGAAAUCUAUUUUUACUAAAAGUUUGAGGGUUUUUCUACUCUCUUGAUUAUUAUUAGCCGGCUGAAAGCCAAGGCCAUUAGCAUCUUAUUACCUGUUCUUGAUGUGAGCAUUGCCCUCAGUUCAUCGAAGCUCUUGGGAACUCUGACGCAUUAAGGAUUCUUGAUUUUUCCGUGGGAAUUUAUUCUUUACUAUUCUUUGCUUAAUAGGUGAGUCACUAUACUUUGCAAUUUCAUUCUUGGAUAUCUACGGUUUGCGUACAUUUCACUCCUGCAAUUGGUCAACUCAGUAUGAUUUUUGGAUUGCUUUUGUGUGCAAUCUCGUUUGCUUUCUUUAAUCAUUUGGGUCUCUGCAACUUUUAGUUUCAAACAUGCCUUAACUUAGCUCUAUUAAAUUUUGACCAGUCGAUGUGUUAAACUUAUUGUUGUUUGAAACUCUUACACUUGUUAGCAUCUUUUGGUGUUUAAUUUAGUCUCUUGCUAUCAAAUUAUUAUUUAAUAUGCAUUACUCGCAUAAUUUGUACUUCUUUAUGUCGACUAGUGUAGUGAGUUCACAAGCAUGAAUAUGCACACCCAUUAUAUAGUACAAGCCCGUUUCCCAUCAUAUUCUGAAUUUUCAUGGUAGCUUGCUUAUCUAACAUGUUUGACUCUCCUCUCUAUCAAAUGUCUUUAGUAUAUUUAACCCCUCCCUGAUUCAGCAGUAGUUAUAAUUUGCUUUUCUCAUGUCUAAAUAUUGUCCUAUUGCCAAAUUAGCAUGAUUGUUCCAUAAUAUCAUGGCGUAUACUUAGAAUAUUCUAGACCUCUUUUAGGUAAUUAGUCUAUUGUGGUAAUGCUAGAAUACCUACAUGUGUUGUUUAAGUUUACUUCUCACUAUGUUCUAAAUAUAUGUAGUGUUUAUCUUGCUUACAUAAUGUGUUUUAAUGUUACAAGACCUUUUCCCUCAAUUAUAAUCUUGCUUUCCUGCUAAUAUGCUCCCCAGUGUGUCUUAAUCCCCCCUGUUCCUUUAGUGAUUACCUGACCUGUUAUAAUGUGUGUUCCUAUCAUGUUUUAGUAUAGUCUUGUCUUCUGAUUAAAGUUGACAUAUUUGUCUUAUGAUACUAAGAUGUAUACUUAGCAUAAAUUAGACUUCUUAGGUCUCAACUUGUUAAUGUUAAAUUCUGUCAAACAUGGCAAACAUGUUCCUCCUCUAACUCUCUCACAUUAUUGUGUGCUACUAUGCUAAAUGUUAAAGUUCUCUUGACCAAGUCCUAGGACCUGCUUGACUAGCUAUUUUGUAUGCUCAACUUAGCUAUGAAUCUAUUCCCCUAACUUCUAUCCAUUCUCCUUAUUUGCAGCUUAUGCUAUUUUGAGCUCUUCAUUCUUAGUCAGCUGUAAGCCAAGGCUAUCUAGAUGUUAUUGUUGGCCUCCUUAGUGUGAGCAUUGUUCGGGGUUCAAUUGAAACCCUUGUGAACUUUGACACACUAGGACUUGGUCCUUAGUCACUCCCUCGAUCUUAAAACUGUUCCUAUUCACUCUAUUACUUUGGGAGGAAGAUGAAAUUUGGUUGUUUCUUUUGCCUUUUUCUUUUUAAUUUUUAUUCAUAGAUAGUAUUUUUGUACUUUCUAAAUGAAUUUAUGCCAUUUAUGUGUGUAUGUAAUACACAUUUAAUGCAACUCAUUUAUAUCAAUAUCACAUAAUCAUUCAAUAGUCAGAGGUAUUUAAAAACCUUGUUUUGAACAGGUAUAAGUGUUCACUUGAGAAACUGAUGAGUAUAGGGACCGGGAUGACAAACACAAACAACUAUAAUGAUCUAUUAGGUUAUCCUGGCUAUAAAAAAUACUUUUUUUAUAAAUUUAUUCGAUCCGGUAUAUUUUUAUAUAAAAUAAAAACCGACACUAUUAUUCAGUGCAGUUAAGUUUAUAUAAAAUCCUAUUAUUUU